Molecule: ribosomal RNA, 490 nt
Filed under: uncultured bacterium
Lineage: Bacteria
Description: partial 16S ribosomal RNA
Rfam family: Bacterial small subunit ribosomal RNA
Source: RNAcentral
AUUGAACGCUGGCGGCAGGCCUAACACAUGCAAGUCGAACGGUAACAGGAAGAAGCUUGCUUCUUUGCUGACGAGUGGCGGACGGGUGAGUAAUGUCUGGGAAACUGCCUGAUGGAGGGGGAUAACUACUGGAAACGGUAGCUAAUACCGCAUAACGUCGCAAGACCAAAAAGGGGGACCUUCGGGCCUCUUGCCAUCGGAUGUGCCCAGAUGGGAUUAGCUAGUAGGUGGGGUAACGGCUCACCUAGGCGACGAUCCCUAGCUGGUCUGAGAGGAUGACCAGCCACACUGGAACUGAGACACGGUCCAGACUCCUACGGGAGGCAGCAGUGGGGAAUAUUGGACAAUGGGCGCAAGCCUGAUGCAGCCAUGCCGCGUGUAUGAAGAAGGCCUUCGGGUUGUAAAGUACUUUCAGCGGGGAGGAAGGGAGUAAAGUUAAUACCUUUGCGCAUUGACGUUACCCGCAGAAGAAGCACCGGCUAACUCCGUG